This 1001-nucleotide ribosomal RNA is filed under the name Pseudomonas aeruginosa. RNAcentral's name for it is "bacterial SSU rRNA". It matches the Rfam family "Bacterial small subunit ribosomal RNA", at positions 56 to 1061 of the family's 1533-position model. Lineage: Bacteria; Pseudomonadati; Pseudomonadota; Gammaproteobacteria; Pseudomonadales; Pseudomonadaceae. The record is from RNAcentral.
UGCAGUCGAGCGGAGAAGGGAGCUUGCUCCUGGAUUCAGCGGCGGACGGGUGAGUAAUGCCUAGGAAUCUGCCUGGUAGUGGGGGAUAACGUCCGGAAACGGGCGCUAAUACCGCAUACGUCCUGAGGGAGAAAGUGGGGGAUCUUCGGACCUCACGCUAUCAGAUGAGCCUAGGUCGGAUUAGCUAGUUGGUGGGGUAACGGCCUACCAAGGCGACGAUCCGUAACUGGUCUGAGAGGAUGAUCAGUCACACUGGAACUGAGACACGGACCAGACUCCUACGGGAGGCAGCAGUGGGGAAUAUUGGACAAUGGGCGAAAGCCUGAUCCAGCCAUGCCGCGUGUGUGAAGAAGGUCUUCGGAUUGUAAAGCACUUUAAGUUGGGAGGAAGGGCAGUAAGUUAAUACCUUGCUGUUUUGACGUUACCAACAGAAUAAGCACCGGCUAACUUCGUGCCAGCAGCCGCGGUAAUACGAAGGGUGCAAGCGUUAAUCGGAAUUACUGGGCGUAAAGCGCGCGUAGGUGGUUCAGCAAGUUGGAUGUGAAAUCCCCGGGCUCAACCUGGGAACUGCAUCCAAAACUACUGAGCUAGAGUACGGUAGAGGGUGGUGGAAUUUCCUGUGUAGCGGUGAAAUGCGUAGAUAUAGGAAGGAACACCAGUGGCGAAGGCGACCACCUGGACUGAUACUGACACUGAGGUGCGAAAGCGUGGGGAGCAAACAGGAUUAGAUACCCUGGUAGGCCACGCCGUAACGAUGUCGACUAGCCGUUGGGAUCCUUGACAUCUUAGUGGCGCAGCUAACGCGAUAAGUCGACCGCCUGGGGAGUACGGCCGCAAGGUUAAGACUCAAAUGAAUUGACGGGAGCCCGCACAGCGGUGGAGCAUGUGGUUUAAUUCAAAUCAACGCAAAGACCUUACCUGACCUUGACAUGCUGAGACUUUCCAAAAAUGAAUUGGUGCCUCCGGAACUCAAACCCAGGGCUGCAUGUUUGCCUCACCUC